Molecule: ribosomal RNA, 441 nt
Filed under: uncultured bacterium
Lineage: Bacteria
Description: partial 16S ribosomal RNA
Rfam family: Bacterial small subunit ribosomal RNA
Source: RNAcentral
CCUACGGGUGGCAGCAGUGGGGAAUAUUGCACAAUGGGGGAAACCCUGAUGCAGCGACGCCGCGUGAGUGAAGAAGUAUUUCGGUAUGUAAAGCUCUAUCAGCAGGAACGGGACAAGACGGUACCUGACUAAGAAGCCCCGGCUAACUACGUGCCAGCAGCCGCGUUAAUACGUAGGGGGCAAGCGUUAUCCGGAAUCACUGGGUGUAAAGGGAGCCUAGACGGCUGAGCAAGCCUGAAGUGAAAGGGGGUGGCCCAACCCCUGGACUGCUUUGGGAACUGUACGGCUGGAGUGCAGGAGAGGUAAGUGGAAUUCCUAGUGUAGCGGUGAAAUGCGUAGAUAGUAGGAGGAACACCAGUGGCGAAGGCGGCUUACUGGACUGUAACUGACGUUGAGGCUCGAAAGCGUGGGGAGCAAACAGGAUUAGAUACCCCGGUAGUC